CGGCCACAUAACGUUAGAACACCGGUUCCCGUACGAUCGCCUAAGUUAAGCAACGUCGAGCCGGGUCAGUACUUAGAUGUGUGAUCACAUGUCAUACCAGGUGCUGUAAG
Acanthosepion pharaonis is the source of this 110-nucleotide non-coding RNA. The record is from the annotation of a GenBank genome assembly. Lineage: Eukaryota; Metazoa; Mollusca; Cephalopoda; Sepiida; Sepiidae.